RNAcentral lists this microRNA (22 nucleotides) under Ascaris suum (pig roundworm). RNAcentral describes it as "asu-miR-81b-3p". Its record names the gene asu-miR-81b-3p. The record is from miRBase by way of RNAcentral. Lineage: Eukaryota; Metazoa; Nematoda; Chromadorea; Rhabditida; Ascarididae.
UGAGAUCAUGCCACAUCUGUCU